UUAAUAUCCGUGCUCUAUGGUAAUCCAGAAGCAAAAAUCUCCAACGGGGGCUUCACAUCCCAAACAUUGCGUAUUUCCAAUGGAUCUAGGCAGGGCUGCCCACUAUCCCCCCUACUUUACAUAUUAGCGUUAGAACCAUUGGCCCAACAUAUCAGAAAUUUACACCAUGUCCAGGGGAUACAUAUAGGCGAGAGAACGCAUACAAUCACCCUCUUCGCUGACGAUGUCAUGCUCACCCUCUCCAAGCCGGAGACAUCCCUCCCAAUGCUUCAACGUAUAUUAGCAAAAUUUAGCAACUGCUCAUACUACAAACUUAACGCCGCUAAGACACAAGUCAUGGGCUUAAAUAUAAACAAAACCCAAUUUAAGCACAUAGAAAAGAAAUAUGCAUACGACUGGAAACAAAACCACUUAACCUUUCUGGGCAUAGACCUUACACCCCAGAUACACC
Non-coding RNA from Pelobates cultripes (western spadefoot toad), 451 nucleotides. The record is from the annotation of a GenBank genome assembly. NCBI's taxonomy places the organism in Eukaryota, Metazoa, Chordata, Amphibia, Anura, Pelobatidae.